RNAcentral lists this ribosomal RNA (429 nucleotides) under Actinomycetes bacterium. RNAcentral describes it as "Actinobacteria bacterium partial 16S ribosomal RNA". It matches the Rfam family "Bacterial small subunit ribosomal RNA", at positions 355 to 776 of the family's 1533-position model. Lineage: Bacteria; Bacillati; Actinomycetota; Actinomycetes. The record is from RNAcentral.
UAGGGAAUCUUCCGCAAUGGGCGAAAGCCUGACGGAGCAACGCCGCGUGAGUGAUGAAGGUCUUCGGAUCGUAAAACUCUGUUAUUAGGGAAGAACAAAUGUGUAAGUAACUAUGCACGUCUUGACGGUACCUAAUCAGAAAGCCACGGCUAACUACGUGCCAGCAGCCGCGGUAAUACGUAGGUGGCAAGCGUUAUCCGGAAUUAUUGGGCGUAAAGCGCGCGUAGGCGGUUUUUUAAGUCUGAUGUGAAAGCCCACGGCUCAACCGUUGAGGGUCAUUGGAAACUGAAAAGCUUGAGUGCAGAAGAGGAAAGUGGAAUUCCAUGUGUACCAGUGAAAUGCGCAGAAAUAUGGAGGAACACCAGUGGCAAAGGCGACUUUCUGGUCUGUAACUGACGCUGAUGUGCGAAAGCGUGGGGAUCAAACAGA